CUUACUAGUUUAUGUAUCGUUAAUUGUUGAUAUAUUGCCUACUGUUGGUAUUAGGUAUGUAAUAUUCUUGAAUGAGCAGAGAAUUAAAACGAAGGCCAAACAUCCAGAUUUGCCUUUUACUGAAAUAACCAAGAUGCUGGCUGCUGAAUGGUCUCAACUUUCUCAAGCAGAAAAGCAAAAAUAUAUUAAAGAAUCAGAAAAGGAUAAGCAAAGAUAUAUGAAAGAAUUGAAAGCCUAUCAAGACUCUGAAGCCUAUCAAGCUUUCUUAGAGAGAAGAGCAGUUCACAAAGUGAAGACUCUGUGUGGAACAAUAUCUAUAGGAAGUAGAUCUGAGAAUGAAGCUCUUGCUUUGUCAACAAUAGAUAGAGAUGAAAGCAAUGACUUGUAUUGUCGGACAUGUAACCAGUUUUUCAGUUCUUUUCAUAACAAGAAAGAACACCUUAUGGGAAAGCAACACUUACAGAAUUUAACAGGAGAGUUUGAGAAAGAAACUGCUGAGUUCUCUAAACAUCAGAAACUGCAAGAAGAAAAGGAGGGAAAAGAUGAGUCAGAAGAAGAAAUUGACUCUACAGAUGUGUUUCAGUUUGGGGGCCUGACCUCUCAGAAGAACUUUGCGUUAUCUGAUUUUUGCUUUUUGCAGGAGUUUAUCUUCAGGCUUCUGAAAUUUAAAGAGUUUGAACUUUGUGAACUAAAAAGAAGUUUGACAAAGGCAUAUGAAGAACAGGAAAGUUUAAAAAAGC
This 740-nucleotide long non-coding RNA is filed under the name Chelonoidis abingdonii (Abingdon island giant tortoise). RNAcentral's name for it is "lncRNA (ENSCABG00000016590.1)". Lineage: Eukaryota; Metazoa; Chordata; Testudines; Testudinidae. The record is from RNAcentral.